This is a long non-coding RNA of Zea mays, 221 nucleotides long. RefSeq lists it as uncharacterized. NCBI's taxonomy places the organism in Eukaryota, Viridiplantae, Streptophyta, Magnoliopsida, Poales, Poaceae. The transcript is spliced from 3 exons. The record is from RefSeq and is a predicted model, not a curated record.
CAAACCGAGGCAACGUGCAGCUUCACCAAAGGACUGGAGCUAGGUCCUAUAUAGCCCAUCGUUACAGCCUGAGGACUAAGUACAACAACAUGGAGCCGGAUGCUGUUGAUUUCUUUGGGGAAUGUAUGAAUAGUCCCCGAAAUGGUCGUACUCCGCUUGCAAAUGAGAUAUAUGAGCAAAUGGUUGCAGAGAAGGAAAGAGAGCUAGAAGAAGGAGAAGCA